This is a long non-coding RNA of Dreissena polymorpha, 960 nucleotides long. RefSeq lists it as uncharacterized. Lineage: Eukaryota; Metazoa; Mollusca; Bivalvia; Myida; Dreissenidae. The transcript has 4 exons. The record is from RefSeq and is a predicted model, not a curated record.
GUGAUUUUUAACUUACCACCGUUCUUUACUUACGUUCAUUUUUCUUUGGGUAAAUUGUUCCUUUUAGUUAAUAUAUUAAAAGCGUCCAUUGAUUUCCGGUAAGCAUUGUUGACGUUUAAUUCAUUGUUGAAAAUAUGCCUAGAAAUGUAUCGUUGUAUGUCGUUGUAUGUUGUUUUUAUAUCCAUUUGUUUAAUAAAUGUUUAUUCUGUUGAUAAAGACCAGAAUCUCAUUAUUAUGCUUUAUAAUUAAGUCAAACCACUAUUACGUAGAUCUCAACUGUAUCACUAUGGAAAUGUCCGAGUAACGCCGCAUGAGCAGAAAGUAUAAAAGGGCGCGUUUCUUCUAUGAAUAGUCAGUUGUACUGCCGACUUCGUCGAGUUAACAUCGCGAAAUUAGGUAAUUAAAUUAUAUUAUUAACAUACAUUAGGGACUUUGGGCACAUAGAGACUGGCUAUCCUCUUCAAACGUUCUGAGAGCCUUGAAGUUGGAUUCCUACCCCUCAGCAGCCCGGGUCGCUAAUAGUUGAUAUAUAAGUCACAUACCUUCACACAACACUACAAGGCUCCAUACCUAGGGUAACGAGUCACACAGACUCGGAGUCAUAACGAAGUGUUCCGAGACAUAGGUCUCCAUACAUAGCUCCGAGACAUAGGUCUCCAUACAUAGACCCGAAGACAUAGGUCUCCAUACAUAGCUCCGAGGCAUAGGGUUCCAUACAUAAUCCUGAGACAUAGGUCUCCAUACAUAGACCCGAGGUCAUAAGCGUAAAUAGUGGGGUUCGAGGUCAUAUGAAUAUAGCAUUUGAUUACAUUUGAUUUACUGUUCCAAACCAAUUAUUGUAUUAAUAACCAAUCAUAAAGCAAGGUAGCUUGAGGAAAAUUUUAUACUAUUGUAUUGUGCUUUGGGUUAUUGUCUGAACCAUACUAUAAAGACCGACGCUCGGUCGAAGACACGUUACAA